CACGUAGUUAGCCGUGGCUUUCUGAUUAGGUACCGUCAAGACGUGCACAGUUACUUACACAUUUGUUCUUCCCUAAUAACAGAGUUUUACGAUCCGAAGACCUCCAUCACUCACGCGGCGUUGCUCCGUCAGGCUUUCGCCCAUUGCGGAAGAUUCCCUACUGCUGCCUCCCGUAGGAGUCUGGACCGUGUCUCAGUUCCAGUGUGGCCGAUCACCCUCUCAGGUCGGCUACGUAUCGUUGCCUUGGUAAGCCAUUACCCCACCAACUAGCUAAUACGGCGCGGGUCCAUCUAUAAGUGAUAGUAAAACCAUCUUUCACUUUAGAACCAUGCGGUUCUAAAUAUUAUCCGGCAUUAGCCCCGGUUUCCCGGAGUUAUUCCAGUCUUAUAGGUAGGUUACCCACGUGUUACUCACCCGUCCGCCGCUAACGUCAAAGGAGCAAGCUCCUUAUCUGUUCGCUCGACUUGCAUGUAUUAGGCACGCCGCCAGCGUUCAUCCUGAGCCAGGAUCAAACUCU
Molecule: ribosomal RNA, 517 nt
Filed under: uncultured Staphylococcus sp.
Lineage: Bacteria; Bacillati; Bacillota; Bacilli; Caryophanales; Staphylococcaceae
Description: partial 16S ribosomal RNA
Source: RNAcentral